ACAUUGUUUAUUAAAUCGGUGUUCAAUUGUUGUUGACCCACAUUGAACGCAAAUAUCGUGAUUGUUGAUUUGUUUGCUUUUGAGUACAUAAUCAACGAACUUCAACGAACUUUAAACCAUCUGAAUGGUUUCCACUUUAAAUACGAGUGUAACCGAGGAUGACCAGACGAGCAGUGAAACAGCCGGGGAGCGAACGUGUUUAACCCGGGCAAGAAGAAGAAGGAGAUUCUACUCGGAAGGAGAUACCAAACUUUCCUUCAGAAAAUCAGCGAUGGACGCGCAGGAGCCCUGGUCCAGCCGCCGCUCCAGGACGAUGAGAAGGAAGCUGAUGUGGAAUGCGCGGCAGCAGUGGAAGCUGCUCGGCCUGUUCGAGAUCGGGAAGCAGCACGAGUUCUACGAGUUCACCUGCAUGCUGAAGGAGGGGCUGGCAGCCGCCGUGCAGAACUCCAUCGACAACCCGCCUCCGAAUGAGCUCGCUGAAGCAGACUUCAAAAUGGAAGUGAACCAGCGGCACGAUGGGUUUAAGAUGCGGACGUUUGCCGGCUCGGUCUUUUCUCAUUUCCGACAGAGGUUGGGAAUGACGGAGAAGGAGUACCAGCUCUCCCUUUCGUCCAAAGGCUUGUACCUGCAGUUCAUCAGCAACUCCAAGAGCAAGGCAGACUUCUUCCUGACGAACGACAAGAGGUUUUUCCUGAAAACGCAGAACAAAAAGGAGGUCCGAUUUCUUCUCUCCAACCUGAGGGUUUACAUGGAGCACCUGGAGAAGUACCCCCACUCUCUCAUCGUCAAGUUUCUCGGGGUGCACAGGAUCAAAAUCCCAAAUCAAGGAAAGAAGUACUUCAUAGUGAUGCAGAGUGUGUUUUACCCCGAUGAAAGGAUCAGUGAACGGUACGAUAUUAAGGGAUGUCAAGUUAGCCGCUGGACAGAUCCGGCCCCAGAGAGCAGCCAGGAGAUCGUGGUGCUCAAAGAUCUGAACUUCGAAGGAAAAUACAUCUGUGUGGACCAGCAGCGCGCCUGGCUCGUCCGGCAGAUGGAGAUCGACAGCCAGUUCCUGCAGAGGCUCAACGUGCUGGACUACAGCCUCCUGGUGGCCGUCCAGCCGCUGCACGUGGACGAGAGGAUGAAGAGCCAGUCCUUCGCCAGCCUCAUCAUUCGCACAAAGCAGUCGGUGAAUGGAAGCAGCAGCCUCAGUUUCUCAGUGCCGGGGAUCGUGGAGGAGGAGUCGGCGGUGCUGGUGUCGGAGAUGGUGUGCGGCACGGAGCAGUGCCAGGUGAGGGAGGUGCACCCGGGCAGACCCAUCCCCCUGCAGACUCUGGGGGCCCAGUCCAGCGUCGAGUCCAAACUGCAGGCCCAGAACCGCAGGCUGCUGCCCAGCUUCAAGAACCCCCUGCACGUCAUCGACGGGCCCGAGGCACGCUACUUUGUGGGGAUCGUCGACAUCUUUACCGUCUACGGCUUCAGGAAGAAACUGGAGUACCUGUGGAAGUGCCUCCGGUACAGAGGACAGGCCUUCUCCACCGUCAGUCCGGACGUGUACGCCAGGCGGCUGUGCCACUGGGUGGAGUCUCACUCUGUGUAGGAAUGGAGGAGAACUGAACUGCAGCACAGCCUUGGAACCUGUACAUGGCAUAGCACCCCCGAAUGACUUUCAUUUAUAUAUAUAGUGACACAGUAUAUCUCUUCACCCUUUUCAAGACACUAUAAUUAAGUGUGUUUUUUUUUUUAUUAUUGUCUUUGAUAAAACUAUAACAAAGGCAGAAACAAUUCCCCAAACCUGAAGCCUUAUCCUGUAUCCAAACCAAUCCCCUUUCCAAUCCAGGUUUCAUCUAUAAUGGCAAUAUAUAUAUAUAUACACACACACACACACACACACACGUCUGUAUUUGAAGUGAGAGAUCAUCAUUGUUUUUUUGCUGCUUCUUGAGAGCUAGGUAAUUAGGAAUGGCAAGCCUACCCUGCAGCAGAGUGGUUGCUGUGUAAAUAACAUUGUGAAUGAAUGAAUGAAUGAGCUCGCUGCCUGUAGAGCUGGAGGAGGUGCAGCUGUCAUGCUGUGGACCUGCAGUGCUGCUCCCAGUUGGGGUUCCAGAGUGAUUUGAUUGAAAGCACUGGCUGUUUUCACAAUUUUUUUUUUUUUUUUUUAAGAUAUUUUUUUCAUGAAAGCUUGUAACAUGAAAUGAUACUUAUUUUAUAUAUAUUUUAAAAAAGUACUUAUUUUGACUGUGGGCAUUUUGCUUUUAAUUCCUUAACUCAUUCAACACAGCACAGACCUAAACCAUUUUGAACUCAACAAAAAGUACAUUUGACAGCAAACCACGUUUUCAACUGUAUAAUUAUUUUAUUUACCCAGGUUAAUGCAAACCCUACCAACGCCCCUAUCUCUGAGGGCAGUGAAUGCGACGUUAUGGCACAAGCGCCUCGCUGAUACGGCAUGAAUGAUCCGUGAAUCCCAGCGUGUGUUGCAGCUUUUAUUUUUCAAUCUGGGAUGUGCUUUGUCAGCCUUCAUAUGAACCAGUCUGAUGAUGAAAAGAGCUUUGGGCUCGUACACGCAGUUAUACAGCUUGAUGAAGAAGGACAUUACAGCUGCAUUGUCUGCCUGGAUCUAAACCCGACUCCUUUUUAACACUAGUAAUGCCACUGAUGGUGUUGAAGUUUGUAUCUGCUUGCUACCACACAAUACACAUACAUUAUGGAGCAGGCUCAUUAAGCUGGGAUGCUGGUUAACUAGCUAUUUCAAUGCUACAGAGCUCUGCUUCACAUCCACUCAGAAGGGGAGUCUGCUUUUGCAGUGGAGGGAAGUCCCCAAUUUAAGUUUUUUAUAUAUGUUCUGCUGUUUUCUGGUCCCGGCCCACUUUCUUUUAAAUGGCCUAUGUUUCCUUAAAUAAAAUCUGACCACAUAAACAGCUGUUGUCUGCAUAUUGUUCUUUUCAGUUCAGCUGUGGCUUCACUACAGGACAUCAGAUAUGCACGAUGGCCAAUGCAUUACACUGACCUUCUCUUGAAAGUUGACUUGAAGUUCCCAAAUAAAACUGGUUUAGCCCUUGGGCCAGACCAUGGAACUUGAGCGUUACCAUGGGAACUGAUUGGUGCAAGUGGAAAGGGAAUACUGACAAAAAGCUUCCUAUCUCCCAAUUACAGUACACCCAAAGCAACCAGAGAACAAACAGCUCUUCAGCACAGCAAUAAGGGGACCGGCGAUGCUGGUGCUAAUGCUAACGAGGUGAGCUUAUCACUUCUUUAACUGAGACUCCCUGUAACCCAGGUAACUUACCCCUCUCUCAGCACUAAAUUAUUGUAGUAGUGUUUGCUCAGGAAUGAUAAUAGAGUAUUCUCCUAUUCCAGCCAGGCUGUCUGCUUGCCUAUGGGUCCUACUCUUCAAAUCCCAUGCAGCCUCACAGAUUUGUUUUUAGCUAUUAUUGCAGGAGGGCUGGCUGGCCCCUGAAGGUUUAUGUCUCAUACAGUCAUAUUGUACAACCCAUUCUUGGCAAACUAGGUUCUCUGAAUACUUAUUAAUAUGCUGUAUGUAUAUCCGGUUCUCUGGUGUUUGUUUGUUUUGUUUGUACAGCGCUUUGAGAUGCGUGCAUUUAGGCGCUUUAUAAAAUAAAGAUGAUUAUUAUAUAUUAUAUUAUUAUUAUUUCUGUU
RNA transcript from Acipenser ruthenus (sterlet), 3639 nucleotides. It is a transcript of the gene named phosphatidylinositol 4-phosphate 5-kinase-like protein 1, with no coding region annotated. NCBI's taxonomy places the organism in Eukaryota, Metazoa, Chordata, Actinopteri, Acipenseriformes, Acipenseridae. The transcript has 11 exons. The record is from RefSeq and is a predicted model, not a curated record.